This 248-nucleotide ribosomal RNA is filed under the name uncultured bacterium. Its description in RNAcentral is "partial small subunit ribosomal RNA". It matches the Rfam family "Bacterial small subunit ribosomal RNA", at positions 26 to 286 of the family's 1533-position model. The record is from RNAcentral.
AGAAUCAACGCUGGCGGCGUGCCUAACACAUGCAAGUCGAACGAGAAAGGGGUAGCAAUACCCUGAGUAAAGUGGCGCACGGGUGGGUAACACGUGACUAACCUACCCUUGAGUGGGGGAUAACUGAGGGAAACCUUAGCUAAUACCGCAUAAUACCCACGGGUCAAAGGAGCAAUUCGCUCGAGGAGGGGGUCGCGGCCGAUUAGUUAGUUGGCGGGGUAAUGGCCCACCAAGACGAUGAUCGGUAU